Molecule: long non-coding RNA, 518 nt
Organism: Lolium perenne
Lineage: Eukaryota; Viridiplantae; Streptophyta; Magnoliopsida; Poales; Poaceae
Source: RefSeq, a predicted model, not a curated record
UCUAUAUAAGAGCUUGGCCGGCCACCUCCACUCCCCUUUGCUCAUUUCUUUCACACUCCACUCCCUCAUACCUUCCUCCCCCUUCCUCCCCACGAGCUGCUGCUCCCCCUUGCUCACAUGGCCGGCCAUGGCCAUAGAAAUCCACCAAGAUGAAGCUCCCCUCCUCCCUCAAGCUUCCCCUCACCAUGAGAGCUUCCCUCUCACUCUCUUCUCCCCUAACCCUAGCUGAAUCCCCCUCUAUUUCUCCUUUCUCCUCUCACAAGAUUGGAUCUUGAUGCAGGUACAUGUUGGUCCAAGCAUGGAGAAGGUUGAGCAAUCCUCAGAUCUGAAACUCUUGACCCAAAUCCAAAUCGAGUGAUUCAAAGUUCCACAGAUAGGUAUUGAAAAGAUCUACAACUUGGCAUUGGUCUCAUCCUCAAAUUCGUUACGGAUUUUGCAUGAUCAAGAUCUGGUCAGAUCUAACUUUGUCGAAUUAAAUCAGGAGCUUGGAAACGAAUUUUUGAAUGAAACCAAUUGGG